RNAcentral lists this long non-coding RNA (1392 nucleotides) under Sinocyclocheilus grahami. RNAcentral describes it as "lncRNA (ENSSGRG00000019121.1)". The record is from RNAcentral. Lineage: Eukaryota; Metazoa; Chordata; Actinopteri; Cypriniformes; Cyprinidae.
CUGAUCUGUAAAGAUACGUUUUGGUACAAUAUAAAGGAGUUCAAGUAACCUUUUUUUAAGUCUGUGGCUUGAAUAAGUUAAAAACAAAUACAGUUUUUCCCCUCCUCAGCAACAUGAUAUUAUCAUACCUGAUGUGCGAAUCGCGAUAACGAGGUGGAUUGCAAAACUGCAUUUUUUUGUGAACUGUGCUUGUAGAAGAAAAGGGGGCAGAGACUUUUUUGAAGGACGCCUUUAGUAGCAACAGAGAAACAGGAAGAAGAUGGAUUUGACAUUUGCAAACAAAUUCGACUGCUCAAAUUCUGGGUUUUUCUUUCCUCUAAAAAUGAUCUGCACAAGAGAUGGCUGCACAUUUUUAUGUAAAUUGUAUUUCAGUGAUGGCUCCACCCCAUUUUUGAGUUCCUGCUGCAGGAGUUAAUGCUGUAUAUAUGCUGUACAGCUGUGAAGGAACCUGAACUGCUGACUUCUUUCUUCAGGACAGUGAGUUGCAAUGGAUGCAGACUUUUCCAAAUGUCAUCAGAUUGUAUUGCCAUAAUGGAAUAUUUAUUUUGGGCUCUAGUGGAAUUUCCAGGCUACAUGUAGAAGACUAGAGAGUAGGAAAUAUCUAGCAUUUCUCAAUGAAUGAUUGUGCAUGGUGAAACUUGUCCUCAAUGAAACUGGCAGCCUUAGACAAUCCUGAUGCAGAAAGUUCUAGGUAAUACGUGAAAGUCUGUAGAACAUGGCUGUGACACCACCUCCUGAAAUUACCAUAGCUGAGCCCAUUUCCAUUCCAAUCCUAAAUGUUCUCCCACCGUCGUCCGAUACGGAGUCAUGGUCCUGUUCCCCAAGCCCACGGCCACACCGGUACCACUCUCGGAGCCGAAAACGGGAGAAGAGAAGAGCCAAAGUGCCUCAAGAGGACAUAUCAAAGAACCGUUGGGAUAAAGGGCAAGGGAAACGAGAUAGGAGCCAAAGCCUGUCACGUGCAUCUCCAACGCCUCCAAGGGUUUCUAAUGUAGAAGAGGAAGAGCAGAGCAGCCCCUCCGUGCUUCUCCUACCCCCAUCCCGCUCAUGGUCACAGAGCUCCUCCCUAAGCAGGCGCUCUCGCUGGUCUAUCCGUAGCCUUCUCAGCAAGGACUCGGAUUGUGGCAGCAGCAGUACAGCCAGUAAUUCUCCGCGCAGUACUCCCGGCAGCUCACCCUACCUGCGCCGCCGUGUGCUGGGAGGCAGAGCCAGUGAAGGGGAGGCGGGCGGGGACAGAAGCGCUGGGGGCUCAGAGAGCCCCCUGCCUCCUACUCCCUCCUCAUCCACCUCCUCCUACCCGCUCGCGGCCCGACACUUCACCCGCAAUGCCAAGGUAAGCCACGUUCUCAACCAGUGAGACUGAUUGAUGGUCGUCACUCAUCCAAAUGUCUG